GUACUCUCAUGGCAGAACAGCUGGCGAGUGUACCCUUUCUGCAGAAAGUAAAAAUGCCCUUGCUGAGGAAAUUAAAUUUAUGUUCAAGUAAAUUUCUUUAUGGCACUGGGAAACAAGCAUUUCUAACAAUUUUGGUGGAAAUCCGUACAUGGAUACGUUCUCUUCUGGGGGCGGUCUCCAGUCCUUUCUCAUGAGGGAGCACACUCCUCUGCCUCAUUGCAGUGGCCUCAGGGAUAUGGAAUUAAGAUCCACCUGGUGUGAUGAAUAAACCCAGACUCUCAGCAACGCAGGAAAAAAAAAACAAAAACUGGCUGGCGAUCUGGAGUAAAGGAUCCUCACAUCCACGUGAACCAGGAAACUCUGUGCCCAAAUCGACGAAAAAAAAACACUGGGAGAGCCGAACUAAAAGUCUUUUAGCACGGGUACCAGCCCUAGAAUUUCCAGUACACCAGCAGCAGCCUGGAAACCACAUCCUCAUCAAAAGACAGAAAGAAAAAAACUCGAGCCAGCCUGAGAAGGACCCUAUUUUAUGCUGUUAACCACUGAGACUGCCAUCCUCACAGCUGAGAAAGGAUGGACCCACCAUACUCAAGUCAAGAAAACAUCUUCCUCGUCAGAAUCAUGGGUUACUGUACUAGGAUUAAGCCUUACUAAGUUAAAGUUAAAGAAAGCUUAAUUUUCAUAUACCUUCUAUAUUGCUUCUUUUCCUUUCCUUAUUCUGUUACUAGCUCCUUUGUUAUUAAUGUAACUAAGUCUGAGUCACCUCAGACCAUUGCCUUUUAUGCUUGCUCUGUCAUACCUUGUGGAAAUGUAAAAGAUCAAUGACAGCUAGCCUUUUCACACAAUUAUUUAUGCCUCGGCCCUCUAAUUGACACAGUUACCCCUAGCACUCAUCGUUGUGAUCACCUGCAGCCAAGACGCUGAUUUUCUGCUCCUAUAGCCUGGCAACCUUGUGGUACAUGGGACUACGUCCUUUAAACUACCCAGGAGCAAAGUUGGACUUCCAUGAAAAAGAUCUCCACCCACCCUACAAAAUGCUUAAAAGGUAACUUAACUCUUUGUUCUGGGCUCAGUCCUUUGGGCUGAGUACUGGGCCGGUGCACCUAAAUAAUAAAUAUCUUCCUGAACCCCAUUUGUCUCUCUGAUUCCUUAAAAAAUCCCGCAACAUUUCUGGGGACUCGCCUGGGAUUGGAGACGACAGAUUUACUGUCUCCUUUGCCUGUGGGGACUAGAGCCCAAGGACCGGGGGAGACCCG
This 1256-nucleotide long non-coding RNA is filed under the name Homo sapiens (human). RNAcentral's name for it is "HSALNT0408605". The record is from RNAcentral. Lineage: Eukaryota; Metazoa; Chordata; Mammalia; Primates; Hominidae.